CAGUCGCCACGGUAAUACGUAGGGUGCAAGCGUUAAUCGGAAUUACUGGGCGUAAAGCGUGCGCAGGCGGUUUGUUAAGACAGAUGUGAAAUCCCCGGGCUCAACCUGGGAACUGCAUUUGUGACUGGCCGCCUAGAGUAUGGCAGAGGGAGGUGGAAUUCCACGUGUAGCAGUGAAAUGCGUAGAUAUGUGGAGGAACACCGAUGGCGAAGGCAGCCUCCUGGGCCAAUAUUGACGCUCAUGCACGAAAGCGUGGGGAGCAAACAGGAUUAGAUACCCGUGUAGUCCCUGUCUCUUAUAC
RNAcentral lists this ribosomal RNA (301 nucleotides) under uncultured bacterium. RNAcentral's name for it is "partial 16S ribosomal RNA". It matches the Rfam family "Bacterial small subunit ribosomal RNA", at positions 509 to 807 of the family's 1533-position model. The record is from RNAcentral.